RNAcentral lists this ribosomal RNA (468 nucleotides) under uncultured bacterium. RNAcentral describes it as "partial 16S ribosomal RNA". It matches the Rfam family "Bacterial small subunit ribosomal RNA", at positions 28 to 507 of the family's 1533-position model. The record is from RNAcentral.
GACGAACGCUGGCGGCGUGCUUAACACAUGCAAGUCGAACGGAAAGGCCCUGCUUUUGUGGGGUGCUCGAGUGGCGAACGGGUGAGUAAAACGUGAGUAACCUGCCCUUGAAUUUGGGAUAACUUCAGGAAACUGGGGCUAAUACCGGAUAGGAGCUCCUGCUGCAUGGGGGGGGUUGGAAAGUUUCGGCGGUUGGGGAUGGACUCGCGGCUUAUCAGCUUGUUGGUGGGGUAGUGGCUUACCAAGGCUUUGACGGGUAGCCGGCCUGAGAGGGUGACCGGCCACAUUGGGACUGAGAUACGGCCCAGACUCCUACGGGAGGCAGCAGUGGGGAAUAUUGCACAAUGGGCGGAAGCCUGAUGCAGCAACGCCGCGUGCGGGAUGACGGCCUUCGGGUUGUAAACCGCUUUCGCCUGUGACGAAGCGUGAGUGACGGUAAUGGGUAAAGAAGCACCGGCUAACUACGUG